GCGGGUCUAGCUCAGAGGAGAGCGUGUGCUUAGCAGGCACGAGGUCCUGGGUUCAAUCCCUAGUGCCUCCG
Molecule: transfer RNA, 71 nt
Filed under: Camelus bactrianus (Bactrian camel)
Lineage: Eukaryota; Metazoa; Chordata; Mammalia; Artiodactyla; Camelidae
Also listed under: 2 other names
Rfam family: tRNA
About the family: Transfer RNA (tRNA) molecules are approximately 80 nucleotides in length. Their secondary structure includes four short double-helical elements and three loops (D, anti-codon, and T loops).
Source: Rfam by way of RNAcentral